RNAcentral lists this ribosomal RNA (427 nucleotides) under uncultured Akkermansia sp. Its description in RNAcentral is "partial 16S ribosomal RNA". It matches the Rfam family "Bacterial small subunit ribosomal RNA", at positions 355 to 774 of the family's 1533-position model. Lineage: Bacteria; Pseudomonadati; Verrucomicrobiota; Verrucomicrobiia; Verrucomicrobiales; Akkermansiaceae. The record is from RNAcentral.
UCGAGAAUCAUUCACAAUGGGGGAAACCCUGAUGGUGCGACGCCGCGUGCGGGAAGAAGGUCUUCGGAUUGUAAACCGCUGUCAUGAGGGAGCAAGCCUUGUCGGUGAAUAGCCUGCAAGGUUGAUAGUACCUCAAGAGGAAGAGACGGCUAACUCUGUGCCAGCAGCCGCGGUAAUACAGAGGUCUCAAGCGUUGUUCGGAAUCACUGGGCGUAAAGGGAGCGUAGGCUGUCGUGUAAGUCAGGUGUGAAAUACCAGUGCUCAACACUGGAACGGCACCUGAUACUGCAUGACUGGAGCAACAGAGGGGAAACCGGAAUUCUCGGUGUAGCAGUGAAAUGCGUAGAUAUCGAGAAGAACACUCGUGGCGAAGGCGGGUUUCUGGAUGUAUGCUGACGCUGAGGCUCGAAGGCUAGGGUAGCGAAAG